Molecule: ribosomal RNA, 527 nt
Filed under: uncultured bacterium
Lineage: Bacteria
Description: bacterial SSU rRNA
Rfam family: Bacterial small subunit ribosomal RNA
Source: RNAcentral
AAUAGAUACCCCGGUAGUCCACGCCGUAAACGAUGAACACUAGGUGUAGGUGAUGUGAAAGUUAUCUGUACCGAAGCCAACGCGUUAAGUGUUCCGCCUGGGGAGUACGGCCGCAAGGCUAAAACUCAAAGGAAUUGACGGGGGCCCGCACAAGCGGCGGAGCAUGCGGAUUAAUUCGAUGCAACGCGAAGAACCUUACCAAGGCUUGACAUAUACGAGAACGCUCUAGAAAUAGAGAACUCUUUGGACACUCGUAUACAGGUGGUGCAUGGUUGUCGUCAGCUCGUGUCGUGAGAUGUUGGGUUAAGUCCCGCAACGAGCGCAACCCUCGUUCUAUGUUGCCAGCGGUUCGGCCGGGAACUCAUAGGAGACUGCCGGGGUCAACUCGGAGGAAGGUGGGGAUGACGUCAAAUCAUCAUGCCCCUUAUGUCUUGGGCUUCACGCAUGCUACAAUGGCCGGUACAAAGGGCUGCAAUACCGUAAGGUGGAGCGAAUCCCAAAAAGCCGGUCUCAGUUCGGAUUGAGGU